GACGAACGCUGGCGGCGUGCUUAACACAUGCAAGUCGAACGGAAAGGCCCUGCUUUUGUGGGGUGCUCGAGUGGCGAACGGGUGAGUAACACGUGAGUAACCUGCCCUUGACUUUGGGAUAACUUCAGGAAACUGGGGCUAAUACCGGAUAGGAGCUCCUACUGCAUGGUGGGGGUUGGAAAGUUUCGGCGGUUGGGGAUGGACUCGCGGCUUAUCAGCUUGUUGGUGGGGUAGUGGCUUACCAAGGCUUUGACGGGUAGCCGGCCUGAGAGGGUGACCGGCCACAUUGGGACUGAGAUACGGCCCAGACUCCUACGGGAGGCAGCAGUGGGGAAUAUUGCACAAUGGGCGGAAGCCUGAUGCAGCAACGCCGCGUGCGGGAUGACGGCCUUCGGGUUGUAAACCGCUUUCGCCUGUGACGAAGCGUGAGUGACGGUAAUGGGUAAAGAAGCACCGGCUAACUACGUG
Molecule: ribosomal RNA, 468 nt
Filed under: uncultured bacterium
Lineage: Bacteria
Description: partial 16S ribosomal RNA
Rfam family: Bacterial small subunit ribosomal RNA
Source: RNAcentral